This 541-nucleotide ribosomal RNA is filed under the name bacterium E-3-48-3H. Its description in RNAcentral is "bacterial SSU rRNA". It matches the Rfam family "Bacterial small subunit ribosomal RNA", at positions 371 to 902 of the family's 1533-position model. The record is from RNAcentral.
AUGGGUGGAAGCCUGAUGCAGCCAUNCCCGCGUUGUGAGGAAGACGGCCUUAUGGGGUGUGUAAACUACUUUUAUGCUGGGGAUGAAACCUACUUACGUGGUGAAGUGAGCUGAAGGUACCAGAAGAAUAAGCACCGGCUAACUCCGUGCCAGCAGCCGCGGUAAUACGGAGGGUGCGAGCGUUAUCCGGAUUUAUUGGGUUUAAAGGGUUCGUAGGCGGCUUAAUAAGUCAGUGGUGAAAUCCUAUCGCUUAACGAUAGAACUGCCAUUGAUACUGUUAAGCUAGAAUAUGUUUGAAGUAGCUAGAAUGUGUAGUGUAGCGGUGAAAUGCAUAGAUAUUACGCGGAAUACCAAUUGCGAAGGCAGGUUACUAAGACAUUAUUGACGCUGAUGGACGAAAGCGUGGGGAGCGAACAGGAUUAGAUACCCUGGUAGUCCACGCCGUAAACGAUGGAUACUUGCUGUUUGAUCGUAAGAUNGAGUGGCUAAGCGAAAGUGAUAAGUAUCCCACCUGGGGAGUACGAUCGCAAGAUNGAAACUC